AACGAACGCUGGCGGCAUGCUUAACACAUGCAAGUCGAACGAGACCUUCGGGUCUAGUGGCGCACGGGUGCGUAACGCGUGGGAAUCUGCCCUUUGCUACGGAAUAACUCAGAGAAAUUUGUGCUAAUACCGUAUAAUGUCGUAAGACCAAAGAUUUAUCGGCAAAGGAUGAGCCCGCGUAAGAUUAGCUAGUUGGUGAGGUAAAGGCUCACCAAGGCGACGAUCUUUAGCUGGUCUGAGAGGAUGAUCAGCCACACUGGGACUGAGACACGGCGCAGACUCAGACGGGAAGCAGCAGUGGGGAAUAGUGGAGAAUGGGCGAAAGCCUGAACCAGCAAUGCCGCGUGAGUGAUGAAGGCCUUAGGGUUGUAAAGCUCUUUUACCAGGGAUGAUAAUGACAGUACCUGGAGAAUAAGCUCCGGCUAACUCCGUGCCAGCAGCCGCAGUAA
Molecule: ribosomal RNA, 449 nt
Filed under: uncultured bacterium
Lineage: Bacteria
Description: partial 16S ribosomal RNA
Rfam family: Bacterial small subunit ribosomal RNA
Source: RNAcentral